RNAcentral lists this ribosomal RNA (762 nucleotides) under uncultured Streptococcus sp. Its description in RNAcentral is "bacterial SSU rRNA". It matches the Rfam family "Bacterial small subunit ribosomal RNA", at positions 28 to 776 of the family's 1533-position model. Lineage: Bacteria; Bacillati; Bacillota; Bacilli; Lactobacillales; Streptococcaceae. The record is from RNAcentral.
GACGAACGCUGGCGGCGUGCCUAAUACAUGCAAGUAGAACGCUGAAGGAGGAGCUUGCUUCUCUGGAUGAGUUGCGAACGGGUGAGUAACGCGUAGGUAACCUGCCUGGUAGCGGGGGAUAACUAUUGGAAACGAUAGCUAAUACCGCAUAACAGUAGAUAUCGCAUGAUAGCUGCUUGAAAGGUGCAAUUGCACCACUACCAGAUGGACCUGCGUUGUAUUAGCUAGUUGGUGGGGUAACGGCUCACCAAGGCAACGAUACAUAGCCGACCUGAGAGGGUGAUCGGCCACACUGGGACUGAGACACGGCCCAGACUCCUACGGGAGGCAGCAGUAGGGAAUCUUCGGCAAUGGACGGAAGUCUGACCGAGCAACGCCGCGUGAGUGAAGAAGGUUUUCGGAUCGUAAAGCUCUGUUGUAAGAGAAGAACGAGUGUGAGAGUGGAAAGUUCACACUGUGACGGUAUCUUACCAGAAAGGGACGGCUAACUACGUGCCAGCAGCCGCGGUAAUACGUAGGUCCCGAGCGUUGUCCGGAUUUAUUGGGCGUAAAGCGAGCGCAGGCGGUUAGAUAAGUCUGAAGUUAAAGGCUGUGGCUUAACCAUAGUACGCUUUGGAAACUGUUUAACUUGAGUGCAAGAGGGGAGAGUGGAAUUCCAUGUGUAGCGGUGAAAUGCGUAGAUAUAUGGAGGAACACCGGUGGCGAAAGCGGCUCUCUGGCUUGUAACUGACGCUGAGGCUCGAAAGCGUGGGAGCAAACAGG